UGGGGAAUAUUGCACAAUGGGGGAAACCCUGAUGCAGCAACGCCGCGUGAGUGAAGAAGUAUUUCGGUAUGUAAAGCUCUAUCAGCAGGGAAGAAAAUGACGGUACCUGACUAAGAAGCCCCGGCUAACUACGUGCCAGCAGCCGCGGUAAUACGUAGGGGGCAAGCGUUAUCCGGAUUUACUGGGUGUAAAGGGAGCGUAGACGGCAGCGCAAGUCUGAAGUGAAAGCCCGGGGCUCAACCCCGGAAUGGCUUUGGAAACUGCGCGGCUAGAGUACCGGAGGGGUAAGCGGAAUUCCUAGUGUAGCUGUGAAAUGCGUAGAUAUUAGGAGGAACACCAGUGGCGAAGGCGGCUUACUGGACGGUAACUGACGUUGAGGCUCGAAAGCGUGGGGAGCAAACAGG
This 404-nucleotide ribosomal RNA is filed under the name Lachnospiraceae bacterium. RNAcentral's name for it is "bacterial SSU rRNA". It matches the Rfam family "Bacterial small subunit ribosomal RNA", at positions 355 to 776 of the family's 1533-position model. Lineage: Bacteria; Bacillati; Bacillota; Clostridia; Lachnospirales; Lachnospiraceae. The record is from RNAcentral.